AUAGCUCAACUAUUAGGCUUCGGGGGAUACUGCCAGACUUGGAACCGGGAGAGGUAAGAGGUACUACAGGGGUAGGAGUGAAAUCUUGUAAUCCCUGUGGGACCACCUGUGGCGAAGGCGUCUUACCAGAACGGGUUCGACGGUGAGGGACGAAAGCUGGGGGCACGAACCGGAUUAGAUACCCGGGUAGUCCCAGCCGUAAACGAUGCUCGCUAGGUGUCAGGCAUGGCGCGACCGUGUCUGGUGCCGCAGGGAAGCCGUGAAGCGAGCCACCUGGGAAGUACGGCCGCAAGGCUGAAACUUAAAGGAAUUGGCGGGGGAGCACAACAACGGGUGGAGCCCUGCGGUUUAAUUGGACUCAACGCCGGACAACUCACCGGGGGCGACAGCAAUAUGUAGGCCAAGCUGAAGACUUUGCCUGAAUCGCUGAGAAGUGGUGCAUGG
RNAcentral lists this ribosomal RNA (444 nucleotides) under uncultured archaeon. RNAcentral's name for it is "bacterial SSU rRNA". It matches the Rfam family "Archaeal small subunit ribosomal RNA", at positions 554 to 997 of the family's 1478-position model. The record is from RNAcentral.